This is a non-coding RNA of Taeniopygia guttata (zebra finch), 3313 nucleotides long. NCBI's taxonomy places the organism in Eukaryota, Metazoa, Chordata, Aves, Passeriformes, Estrildidae. The record is from RefSeq and is a predicted model, not a curated record.
AAAAAUCUUUCUUGAUCCAUUCAUUUUUAUCAUUUCAUUCUUGGUAUAGUUUUUCCCGGAGCAGGACUAUAUCAAAAUAGUUUUUCCCUUUUUGCAAAGUCGUUGCUUCUGUGAAUUCCUUGGACAAGAAUGUUACCCAUCAAAAUGCAAACACUGCAAAAUCCAGGAUCCUCCACCCUCACGAUUUCCCAUAGCUUCAAGAAAGCAGAGCAGUCAGGAGGACCACAACAGCUAAUUUCUCUGAGCAAAUGCUCAGUUUGCCCUGCAAAUACCUGGAAUUGAUCCAUAGCAGUGAUCACACAGCAUCACUGUUUCCCCAUUCCUCUCCUCAAGGGUGCCUUAGCAGACUUUGAGGGGGCUUCUAAAGGCAUUUGUAAUAUAAUUAGUAAAUAUCAGUAAUAUUCCACAUUUACUAGCAACUUGUAUGCAAGUUCAACAUAUGUAAAUGCCUACAUGAUUUUCCCCAUUAUUGUUUGUCAGGCAGUGUUCUGACCCAACAAGGCACUAUUAUGAAAUCUUCCUAAGCACACUGAUGGAACAAGACACUGUUUUCAAAGGCAGGUAAGCUUUAAACAUAAAAUUCAUAAGGAGGGGUUAUUUUUACUUAUGAAUUUUCAUUAUUUCUAUGUCAAAAUUGGUUCAUAAUAUAGAUGCUCAAUUCAGUAUCUAGUAGUUUCUGUUCUUUUGCUUUUUUUUCUCUAGUCAAUGCAUCAGUAGUGCUUUCUAUUAGUCAAAAGAUAAAUUACAUCAAAUAAGAAAAAUGGUUGCUCAGCAACUCAGACUCCCACUGAGCCUGACAAUGGUAAAUGGAGGAAAUUUCUUCAAGCUCUUAUGUGCUAGCUGAAGGGAAAAGAACAUUUAUAUUAUUUUAAAUGCUUCUGUCAAGAGUGGCUAUAAAUAACAAUAAGACAAAAAUACACCUUUUGGUGAUUUUUGGGUAUUUUUUUUUUCCUAGGCAAAACACACCCUUUUUUUAAUUCUUCUUCCCAAAACAGGUAAAACCUAAAGAAGUUCUGUUAUGUGGAUGGCAGUGAAGGGGACAGAGAAGUGAAUGAAACUAGUUCAGUUUCAUACUAAAUUUCUAUAUUGUCUUUCUAUAUUGUCUAUGUCUAUAGCCUGAACUGCUCUCAUAGUGUUUUUUCAGUGUCUCUAAAAUGACCAGUGAUUAUGGAAGACUAGUAAUGAAAUAGAAAAGCCAGAGCGUGCAUGCAUGUCCGGCUCUGAUUUUUGUACGGAUGUUAGUACUGGACCAUGCCUCCUUCCUCUUCCUCAGCUUGACAGCCACACACAGCUAGGAAAUGCUGCAAUGGUGCUCAUAAUUAGGGCAGUAGUUACCAACCAGAAGUGGUCCAAAUUAAUUUACCAGCUGAGUAGAUAUGUCUCAAAAAAAAAAAAAAUCCUUGCAAGUUGUGAUUAAUUAUUGGUUUUUUAACAUUAGCAUCCUGCUCAAGGCAGAUGUACUGGUCUAGAACUGACAGAGUUCUGCUCUGCAGUAACAGCACUUUGAUCAAAGUCCUGAUUAAGACAGACCUGACACUGACCACGUGCCUAAUUUCUGCCAGUUCCCAGACACUGCUGAGGAAUGUAACCUCUCCAAAAUCCUAUGAAGAGAUAUGAUAAAGCUCCCUUCUUAUCUAUUUUGCAAACACAGCGGAACAUAAAUUUAAGAUUAAUGGCUCUUUCACUCUAAUAAUGGAAACCACAUGAUUUGUAUUUUAUCAAUUUAUAUUAUUUAGUCAUCUCUAUAUUUAUGUUCAAGAUCUAGAAACUCUUUUUUCUAUCAUGAGCAAAAUGUUAAAAAUCAGUUGUCGCUUUCUAAGUACAGUUUUCACAAGAAUGAUUCUUGAUGUAAAAAUCUGUAAUGGGAAGAAGUUUACAAAUACUCAGUAUCUGAGUUAAAAUUUAAUACAAUCACAAUGCCAGCAUUCUGCAUCUAUUUCAGGUGGAAAAAUUUAUUUCAUAAUCCUUAACAUCUUAUUGUUGUAUUACUCAACAUGGGAAAUUCAAAAUGCAGCUCAUUACUAGUAGGGACAGGCAGUCAUUUUAAUUUUCCAUUCAUUUGUAAACUAAUUGGUGUCCAAGAGCUCUCACUUAAAAAUUCAAACAACGUGGUGCAGUUUUCUUCCUAAAUUUGUCAAAUACUGCUACUGUACUUCAUUGCUGUCUUCAGAAUAAUAGAUGUUUCCAUUCUCUGCUGUGCACUCAGGAAGCUGAAAAACAUUUUGACACAUCUUUGAUUGGAGGCAUCCAUGGCUACAGAACAAAACACAUUUAACUGCCAAUUUUUGUUUCUUCAGAUGAGAUAAACCAGAACAUUAUUGGCAUUACAUAAAUCUCAGCCUCAAACAAGAUGUAUCAAAUCAUUUAAGGAAUUUUGGGAAACAAAAACAUGUACUUAAAAAAAAUUACCUUUAAAUUACCUGUAGACAACACUGGUAUGCUUUGAUUACUUCUUUAGAGGCCACCUUGCAAUUUUCUGUAUUUUCACAUUUCUCUAAAGAGAGUGCACAAAAAAGUUUUAUUUUUAAGCAGUUGUAAAAUAUUUCCCAAUGUUCACAUCUUUUAAAUGGUGUUCAGUGCUGACAGUUUACUGAGCUAAAGAACUUCCAGUGUCACUAAGCUCUGAGACUUUCUUUUUACAAGUCUCUUGACAGCUCUGCUUGCACCAAGUAUAUGUUACUUUUAAGGUCUUAUGAGACUGGAGUCCUGCACAGCAUAUGAAGAGUUGAGCCUGGAUAAAUGCUUUCAGGCAAACCCCUGGUUUUCCGAGGUCUGGUGCAUGGGGAGCAGCUAUGGCUUCAGGAACGUCCUGAAACAUUCACCCCAACAGAUCUGGCCUGAAGAGCAGUUCAAAAAAAUCUGCUGGGACACAUUAAACUACCAUUUGAAUGACACACUGGGAUCAUCUCAAUCAAACCCAGCUAAAGCAAUUAAGUGAAUAGCAUUGGUCUGACGGCCUCCCAAAUUUUGCAUUCAUACCCUUCUUACAGACACCAAAAAGAUUGUGCCUGCUUGGCUGAGCAGUGACAGAGAAAAUGCUUCUCUCCAUUUUCUCUGGCAAAUAAAUGCCUCUGUAUACUCUAUUUUUGCUUGUGAUACACAUCCUUCAGCUUAUCCAGGCUUUCCAAUGUAUCACACAUAUUUCACUAUAACAGCCCCCGCUCUACUGCUGUUAAAAUUUCAUAAUAAAGAAAACAGUAAUCAUCAGUCUUAACUUUCCUGUAUUUUUUUCUUCCCUGCGGGUAAGUCGUUACAGUAUGUCUGAUUAUUAGGAACAAGGAAUAAACAUUUCCCUUCCAUGAAGAACAGGAAA